Molecule: ribosomal RNA, 811 nt
Filed under: uncultured bacterium
Lineage: Bacteria
Description: bacterial SSU rRNA
Rfam family: Bacterial small subunit ribosomal RNA
Source: RNAcentral
AGAGUUUGAUCCUGGCUCAGAACGAACGCUGGCGGCGUGCCUAACACAUGCAAGUCGAACGGGAUUUGAGAGCUUGCUCUUAAAUUUAGUGGCGCACGGGUGAGUAACGCGUAGAUAAUCUGCCUGAUGAUCUGGGAUAACACUUCGAAAGAGGUGCUAAUACCGGAUAAGCCCACGGAGUCUUUGGAUUCUGCGGGAAAAGGGGGGGACCUUCGGGCCUUCUGUCAUCAGAUGAGUCUGCGUACCAUUAGCUAGUUGGUAGGGUAAUGGCCUACCAAGGCGACGAUGGGUAGCGGGUCUGAGAGGAUGAUCCGCCACACUGGAACUGGAACACGGACCAGACUCCUACGGGAGGCAGCAGUGAGGAAUAUUGCGCAAUGGGGGCAACCCUGACGCAGCGACGCCGCGUGGGUGAUGAAGGCUUUCGGGUCGUAAAGCCCUGUCAAGUGGAAAGAAAGGCUGACGGAAUAAUACGACGCCAGAUUGACGGUACCACUAAAGGAAGCACCGGCUAACUCUGUGCCAGCAGCCGCGGUAAUACAGAGGGUGCGAGCGUUGUUCGGAAUUACUGGGCGUAAAGGGCGCGUAGGCGGCUUUAUAAGUCAGAUGUGAAAGCCCACGGCUUAACCGUGGAAGAGCAUCUGAUACUGUGAGGCUUGAGUAUGGGAGAGGAAAGUGGAAUUCCCGGUGUAGAGGUGAAAUUCGUAGAUAUCGGGAGGAACACCUGUGGCGAAAGCGACUUUCUGGACCAAUACUGACGCUGAGGCGCGAAAGCGUGGGGAGCAAACAGGAUUAGAUACCCUGGUAGUCC